CAGCCGCCGCGGUAAAACGGAGGGUGCAAGCGUUAAUCGGAAUUACUGGGCGUAAAGCGCACGCAGGCGGUUUGUUAAGUCAGAUGUGAAAUCCCCGAGCUUAACUUGGGAACUGCAUUUGAAACUGGCAAGCUAGAGUCUUGUAGAGGGGGGUAGAAUUCCAGGUGUAGCGGUGAAAUGCGUAGAGAUCUGGAGGAAUACCGGUGGCGAAGGCGGCCCCCUGGACAAAGACUGACGCUCAGGUGCGAAAGCGUGGGGAGCAAACAGGAUUAGAUACCCGAGUAGUCCCUGUCUCUUAUAC
RNAcentral lists this ribosomal RNA (301 nucleotides) under uncultured bacterium. RNAcentral's name for it is "partial 16S ribosomal RNA". It matches the Rfam family "Bacterial small subunit ribosomal RNA", at positions 509 to 807 of the family's 1533-position model. The record is from RNAcentral.